RNAcentral lists this ribosomal RNA (238 nucleotides) under uncultured bacterium. RNAcentral's name for it is "partial 16S ribosomal RNA". It matches the Rfam family "Bacterial small subunit ribosomal RNA", at positions 95 to 334 of the family's 1533-position model. The record is from RNAcentral.
CGGGCGGACGGGUGAGUAACGCGUGGGUAACCUGCCUCAUACAGGGGGAUAACAGUUAGAAAUGACUGCUAAUACCGCAUAAGACCACAGCACUGCAUGGUGCGGGGUAAAAACUCCGGUGGUAUGAGAUGGACCCGCGUCUGAUUAGCUAGUUGGUAAGGUAACGGCUUACCAAGGCGACGAUCAGUAGCCGACCUGAGAGGGUGACCGGCCACAUUGGGACUGAGACACGGCCCAA